ACAUACGACAGAUGAGGCGGAUGGUGCAGGCUACAGUGGUGCCGUGACCCGGAUCCACACUGCUUCGGACAAGUUCACCGUGGUUCGAGAAGAGUGGAUCAAUGUCAACUGGUCACCUGAGUUCGCGCCGAGCUGCGCUGGGGAGAGGUCUGUGUGGGGAGGCCGGAGCCUGGGAACUGCUGUGCUGAAUGCAUUUUUAUUUUGAACAGAAUAAACCCGCCUUCCUGCUACAAAA
Fundulus heteroclitus (mummichog) is the source of this 235-nucleotide long non-coding RNA. RefSeq lists it as uncharacterized. Lineage: Eukaryota; Metazoa; Chordata; Actinopteri; Cyprinodontiformes; Fundulidae. The record is from RefSeq and is a predicted model, not a curated record. The transcript has 2 exons.